RNAcentral lists this ribosomal RNA (497 nucleotides) under uncultured bacterium. RNAcentral's name for it is "bacterial SSU rRNA". It matches the Rfam family "Bacterial small subunit ribosomal RNA", at positions 29 to 521 of the family's 1533-position model. The record is from RNAcentral.
AUUGAACGCUGGCGGCGUGCCUAACACAUGCAAGUCGAGCGGUAACAGGUGUAGCAAUACAUGCUGACGAGCGGCGGACGGGUGAGUAACGCUUGGGAAUCUGCCUGUUAGUGGGGGACAACCCGGGGAAACUCGGGCUAAUACCGCAUACGCACUACGGUGGAAAGCCGGGGACCGCAAGGCCUGGCGCUAACAGAUGAGCCCAAGUCGGAUUAGCUAGUUGGUAGGGUAACGGCCACCAAGGCGACGAUCCGUAACUGGUCUGAGAGGACGACCAGUCACACCGGAACUGAGACACGGUCCGGACUCCUACGGGAGGCAGCAGUGGGGAAUAUUGGACAAUGGGCGAAAGCCUGAUCCAGCGACGCCGCGUGGUGAAGAAGGCCUGCGGGUUGUAAAGCCCUUUCGGUGGGGAAGAAAAGCCUCGAGUUAAUACCUCGGGUCUUGACGUAACCCAUAGAAGAAGCACCGGCUAACUCUGUGCCAGCCGCCGCCGU